This 2235-nucleotide long non-coding RNA is filed under the name Ornithorhynchus anatinus (platypus). RNAcentral's name for it is "lncRNA (ENSOANG00000042068.1)". Lineage: Eukaryota; Metazoa; Chordata; Mammalia; Monotremata; Ornithorhynchidae. The record is from RNAcentral.
CCCCCCACCCCGCCCCCCGAAGCGUGUGCCCAGACCCUACCUGGGCUGAGCAGGAAGGCGCCAAGCAGGAGCAGACCGAGCUCCAAAGGUUUCAUUCCUGAGCGUGGACGGAGGAGGGCGAGCAACUUGGCGUCCAGUUGGUGGUUCCUUCGCCCCCGGGGUCUCCCCCGUUGCCUUUCCUGCCCGUCCCUCGGUCCGUCCGUCUGUCCGGCCGGGACCCUGCCCCCUGCCCUCCUUGCCCACCCCCCACCGCCCCCAAUCCUCCUCGCUCCCUUUCUAAUAUUGGGGUCCGGCUGGGACGGGGCGGCGGGGAUUCAGCGCCCACGGCAAGCCCGGCGUCUCGGAGACCAACUCACUUCUCGCAGACCCGUCCAUCCCCCAAGCUCCCUCGACAUCGCAGACACACAUACACACACACACACAUGCACAACACACACACACACAAUACACACACACACCGCGUCCUCGGGCGGCUCCUCUCCGGGCGGGAGAUAGGCGAGGCGAUCCGGUCGCCGGCGGGGAGGAGGAGGAGGAGGGAGGGAGGAGGAGGAGGGAGGGAGGAAGAGGAGGAGGAAUGGAGGAGGAGGAGGAGGAGGAGGAGGAAGGGAGGAGGAGGAGGAAGAGGAGGGAAGAGGGAAGAGGGAGGGGAGAGGGGAGGAGCGAGGGGGGAGGGGGGAGGAGCAAGGAGGGAGGGGCAUCAGCAUCCAAGAGGCCCUAAGCUCUCAACACCUCCCCCUCCCCUCCUCGUCCCGUCCCCCCACCCCCAAAUCCGAGGGGUGAGGGAAGGGUGCGGGGAGGGGGCUGAUCUUCUUUUGUCUCCCAACAGGAGGACGGACCCCUCGACUGCCGCCUCUGCAUUGGACACCCACGAGUCACAGCACAUUUGUUCCAGGAGGACAACCAGCUUCCAGCCUGCUGCUAGUUCCUCUGACAAACAAUGGGGUAUAACUGGCAUAUUCUCAUCUCAGAAUGGCAUCCUAAAGCUAUUCCACAAUGUUGCCAGGCAAGCACUUUUUAAAGCAUCUGACUGUAUUAAUUUUGCUUCUCUUUCCUGAGGUUUGCAGGAAACUGAAUGGUAAAGGGUGUGCUGGCAAAAAAUUAAAGUGGGCAGAAAAAGAAGGAGAAGAUUGACAGGAAGUAGAGUUUGAAUAGGACAGCUUGCGCUGACUGCAGAGGCAUGUGGGGCUGUCCUGCUCUUGGUAUUUCAAGCCUACUCUGUGCUCCACUCCUGGCAGUUCAGUGAUUAAAAUGAGGUUUUGCCUACACAUUGCAGGCACCUGACAAAAGCACUAAAUAGCCUCAGAAUACAAUUUAGAGAGCUGGUUUUGGAUCUAUCUUAAGUUUCCUAAAUGAUGGCCAACUCCAGAAAGAGGCUGUUUAGCAAACACACCUGACUCUCAUCUUUCUCCCAUGCCUUUGAGUUUGGGGUGAGGGGAAUCCCUUAGGCACCUAGAAGUAGUGUUAACAAUACUGAUAAAAAUAACUGUGGUACUGGUUAAGUGUUUGCUAUGGGCUAAGUACUGAGCUAAGCUUUGGGGUACAUAAAAUACAAUCAGAUCCGACACAGUCCCUGUCCCGCUUGAAUCUCACAGUCUAAUGAGGAGGGAGAACAGGAAUUUUAACCCUAGGUUACAUUUGAGGAAACUGAGGCCCAGAAAAGCCAAAUGGGUUGCCCAAGGUUGCACAGUGAGCAAGUGAUGGAGCUUGGGUUUAGAAUUCAAGUCUCCUCACUCUCAGUCCUGUGCUCUUUCCACUAGGCCCUGUUUAUUGAGCCCCUGUUGGAUGUAAUGUGCCAUACAAAGUACUUGGGAAGAUAUCACAACUACAUGAGCUAUAAUCCACACCCAUGAGGAGAGAAAGGCGUAAGAGUAUUUGUGAAUCAAGUAAACAGGAUCGAUAGGAGAAUUGAUUAUGCUUAUGUAAUAACAAUUGCAGUAUUUGUUAAGCACUUACUAUAUGCCCAGUGCCGGGGUAGGUAUAAGGAAUCAGGUCAGACUCAGUCCCUUCCCACACGGGGCUUGCAGUCUGAGAGGGAAAACAGGUAUCGAAUCCCCAUUUUGCAGAUGUGGAAACUGAGGUGCAGAGAAGUGAAGUGAAUUUGCCCAAGGUCACAGAACAGGCAAGUGGCAGAGGCAUAAUUAGAACCCUGGUCCUCUGACUCCCAGGCUGAUGCUCGUUCUAGUGGGUCCCAUUACUCGCUACUCUAUAAUUCUGCCUCCCACCUCCUAACUGUGG